UAUUGGACAAUGGGCGAAAGCCUGAUCCAGCCAUGCCGCGUGUGUGAAGAAGGUCUUCGGAUUGUAAAGCACUUUAAGUUGGGAGGAAGGGCAUUAACCUAAUACGUUAGUGUUUUGACGUUACCGACAGAAUAAGCACCGGCUAACUCUGUGCCAGCAGCCGCGGUAAUACAGAGGGUGCAAGCGUUAAUCGGAAUUACUGGGCGAAAGCGCGCGUAGGUGGUUUGUUAAGUUGGAUGUAAAUCCCCGGGCUCAACCUGGAACUGCAUUCAAAACUACUACAGAGAUGGAGAGGGUGGUGAAUUUCCUGUGAGCGGUAAAUGCGAGUAAGAAGAACACCAGUGGCGAGCACCACCUGGCAAUCUGACUGGGCAAA
RNAcentral lists this ribosomal RNA (376 nucleotides) under uncultured bacterium. Its description in RNAcentral is "bacterial SSU rRNA". It matches the Rfam family "Bacterial small subunit ribosomal RNA", at positions 362 to 749 of the family's 1533-position model. The record is from RNAcentral.